Molecule: long non-coding RNA, 357 nt
Filed under: Felis catus (domestic cat)
Lineage: Eukaryota; Metazoa; Chordata; Mammalia; Carnivora; Felidae
Description: lncRNA (ENSFCAG00000046042.2)
Source: RNAcentral
CAAUUAAAGCAGAUGCUGUGAACAAAAGUUUGAGCUAGAGCUCUAUAAUGUUUAGGUUGAUUGCUCAUUGCUCAAGUUUCAAGUACAAGGUAAAGAGGGAUGGGAUUUGAAGGUAACAUUUGUGUGCAUAGAUGGAACUAAUGUGGGUCACUACGCAGGUUGUGUGAGCCAAAUAACCCAGGUCCUACCAAAGAGGUGAACUCAAGUUAUAAUUGGCCACUUGCAAAGAGAAAAAGAAGAGAAUGAAGCUCUGGGAAGAGAAAAGUCACUUUCCACCAAAAUUCAUGUUCCCAUUCAUAGUACACACUCGGUCUUGGGAAAGGGAUGCCCAUUUAGGGAUUACAUUUUCUAGCCCCU